RNAcentral lists this ribosomal RNA (406 nucleotides) under uncultured bacterium. RNAcentral describes it as "bacterial SSU rRNA". It matches the Rfam family "Bacterial small subunit ribosomal RNA", at positions 356 to 773 of the family's 1533-position model. The record is from RNAcentral.
GGGGAAUAUUGCACAAUGGGCGGAAGCCUGAUGCAGCGACGCCGCGUGGGGGAUGACGGCCUUCGGGUUGUAAACUCCUUUCACCAUCGACGAAGGUUUUCUGACGGUAGAUGGAGAAGAAGCACCGGCUAACUACGUGCCAGCAGCCGCGGCAAUACGUAGGGUGCGAGCGUUGUCCGGAAUUACUGGGCGUAAAGAGCUCGUAGGUGGUUUGUCGCGUCGUCUGUGAAAUUCCGGGGCUUAACUCCGGGCGUGCAGGCGAUACGGGCAUAACUUGAGUACUGUAGGGGGGACUGGAAUUCCUGGUGUAGCGGUGAAAUGCGCAGAUAUCAGGAGGAACACCGGUGGCGAAGGCGGGUCUCUGGGCAGUAACUGACACUGAGGAGCGAAAGCAUGGGUAGCGAAC